This is a long non-coding RNA of Mytilus californianus (California mussel), 7290 nucleotides long. RefSeq lists it as uncharacterized. Lineage: Eukaryota; Metazoa; Mollusca; Bivalvia; Mytilida; Mytilidae. The record is from RefSeq and is a predicted model, not a curated record. The transcript has 6 exons.
UUUUAUACUUUAAGCUCAAAAAUGUCAGACCGUCUGUUCAAAAGUUACAUUAACAUAAUUCUUAAAACUAUAGUAACAUAUGUAUAUCUUUUAAAAGGUAACAGAUAUCAACCUACUAUAAACUGCAAAGAUGAUCAGUAAUUCAAGACCUUCAAUUUGAGGUCAAUGUCCGGUCAUGAUGAAAUUUAACCUUGACCUUCAGAGUGUACUAUGACCUUGACCUUGUGACAUUUGAAAGGUCAAGUGAUCUUGAGUUGAAUGGUGGUAGUCUUAUGUCUCUACGACUUCCGGUUCUCAAGUUUGAUAUUGCAUUAUAUAUUUGAUAAUUCAUUGUGACCUUGAUGAACUUUGGAAUUGUCCAAUUUUUUUUCUUAAAUGUUGUCCUUUUACUGUAGAUCAUUUUUCUUUUAACAAAUUUGAGAUACCUGUUGUCGUUUAAGAGAUAAUGCACUUUGAAAUUUUGCGAGCGGAGGCAUGAAUUUCUGAAUCAACAACAGUUUACCACCUGAAAUUUUCAGAAAUUGAAGAGUUUAACAUGGUUAUAUGUUUGACAUAAUACCAAAAACAUUCAAUGAAAAAAAAAAACCAAAAAAUCAAUUUGAAAUUUUUAUGUUUUGCAUUGACUUUGUAAGUUUCAUAAUUUCUAUUUAUACAAUUGAUAUUGCAUCAUUUUUGGCACUUUGCCAAAUGGGCUCAUUUGAUAUAUCAAAUUGAAGGUCUUAACGAGCUCUACUCAAAAAUGAAAAUGUAAAACCCCCUUUUCAUCCCAGGGGGAAGGGUGGGGUCGUUUAGUGCAAAAAAUUAAAACUUCUCAGAUGGUUAGGUUGUCGCAUAUCAAAUGAAAGUCCAUAAAGCGUACAUUUCAAAUAUCAAAUUGACGUCCCCAAAAAAUGGGUUGGGUGGGGUCAUUGAGUGCAAAAAAUAUAAUUUUCUUUUAAGGUAAGGUUGUUGUAUUUCAAAUGAAAGCUCGUAACGUGUACAUUUCAAAUAUCAGAUUCCUGUCCUCAAAAAAAGAGUUGGGUGGGGUUAUUUAGUGCAAAAAUCAAACUUCCUAGAACAUUUGAGUUUAACAUGGCUAUAUGGUUGACAAAUUACCAAAAACUUUCAAUGAAAAACUUAAAAAAAAAAAGUCAAUUUGAAAUUUUCAUCUUUUACAUUGACUUUGUAAGUUUCAUAAGUUAUAUUUAUAUAAUUGAUGUUGCAUCAUUUUUGGCACUUUGCCAAAUGCAGUCAUUAUGUAUAUCAAAUUGAACGCCUAAAUGAGCUGUACUCAAAAAUGAAAAUUUCAAACCCCUUUUUCAUCCCAGUGGGAAGGGUGGGGUCAUUUAGUGCAAAAAAAACAAACUUCUCAGAUGGUUAGGUUGUCGCAUAUCAAAUGAAAGUCCAUAAAGCGUACAUUUCAAAUAUCAAAUUGACGUCCCCAAAAAAUGGGUUGGGUGGGGUCAUUGAGUGCAAAAAAUAAAUGUUCUUUUAAGAUAAGGCUGUUGUAUAUCAAAUGAAAGGUCUGACCGUGUACAUUUCAAAUAUCAAAUUCAUGUCCUCCAAAAAUGAGUUGGAUGGGGUUAUUUAGUGCAAAAAUCAAACUUUCUAGAACAUGUUGCUGUCGCAUAUCAAAUGAAAGAUAAUCAAGUCUACAUUACAUAUAUCAUACUUCCAAUUUCGAAAAUAUAGGCGGAUGGGGUCAUUAAGUGUAAUAAGCGAAAAGUUUGAGAAGGUAUGCUUGUCGUAUAUCAAUCGAAAGGUUGUAGAAAGUACAUUACGAAAACAUCACUUUUACAGAAAGACCUUUCAAUUGUUUUACAAACAAUUGAGAUACUAGUUAAGGUCUUUCCACUCCGUUAGGAAAGACCUUAUUGUUAAGGUCUUUCCACUCCGUUAGGAAAGACCUUAUUGUUUUUCUAAUGUUUUUUUUUUUUCUUUUUUUUUUUUUUUUUCUUUUUCUUUUUUUUUUUUUUUUUUUUUUUCUUUUUUUUCUUCCAACAUUUUUUUGGGAAUGCCCUCCCCCCGUUUCUGUUCAAGUUAUCAAGACCAAAUAUGGACCAUCGAUAGACAUCAUCAUGAAGUAUUACCACAUGACCCUGUUAAGGAUUUCAUCAUCCCCUGUAGAAGUUAUCCCCCUUUUAUUGGAUUUUUUCAACAUGGCCCCCCUUCGUUGUUUUUGAAGAUAUCAUGACCUUAUUUUGACAAUAGGUUGAUCUCAUCAUGAUGUACUACCAUAUGUGACUGCAUAGGAUUUCAUCAUCCCCUAUGCGAGUUAUAUCCCCUUGAAGCGAUUUCUUUCCUUUGCAUUUUUCUCAAAAAGUAUUAGAGAUAGAAUCGAUUUGAAAACGGCAACAUAUACAGGAACUGAUGGCAAUGUUAAUGAACAUAUAAAAUAAUUUUGUUAUUGACCCUUAUAAGGAGUUAUUUCUCUUAAAAAAAUAUACACAAUUUUUGAAAAAUUGUAUUUCGAGAACCCUAAGUCGUAGAGACUUGGGACCUACACCAAUAAUCUUAAGUUCAUGUGACCUUCAAUUUGCAUCUAAGGUCAAAGGUCACAGAGUGCAAAAAAACUUUACGCUGCAAUUUCAAGCUUGCAUAUUAAGAAAACCAUAAGAGUUUGCUGCAUACAUACUGUGUAUAAAAUGUUCCUCUCGACGAGCUCUACAUUUUAUACAUUAAGCUCAAAAAUGUCCGACUGUCUGUUCAAAAGUUACAUUAACAUAAUUCUUAAAACUAUAGUAACAUAUGUAUAUCUUUUAAAAGGUAACAGAUAUCAACCUACUAUAAACUGCAAAGAUGAUCAGUAAUUCAAGGCCUUCAAUUUGAGGUCAAUGUCAGGUCAUGAUGAAAUUUAACCUUGACCUUCAGAGUGUACUAUGACCUUGACCUUGUGACAUUUGAAAGGUCAAGUGAUCUUGAGUUGAAUGGUGGUAGUCUUAUGUCUCUACGACUUCCGGUUCUCAAGUUUGAUAUUGCAUUAUAUAUUUGAUAAUUCAUUGUGACCUUGAUGAACUUUGGAAUUGUCCAAUUUUUUUUCUUAAAUGUUGUCCUUUUACUGUAGAUCAUUUUUCUUUUAACAAAUUUGAGAUACCUGUUGUCGUUUAAGAGAUAAUGCACUUUGAAAUUUUGCGAGCGGAGGCAUGAAUUUCUGAAUCAACAACAGUUUACCACCUGAAAUUUUCAGAAAUUGAAGAGUUUAACAUGGUUAUAUGUUUGACAUAAUACCAAAAACAUUCAAUGAAAAAAAAAAACCAAAAAAUCAAUUUGAAAUUUUUAUGUUUUGCAUUGACUUUGUAAGUUUCAUAAUUUCUAUUUAUACAAUUGAUAUUGCAUCAUUUUUGGCACUUUGCCAAAUGGGCUCAUUUGAUAAAUCAAAUUGAAGGUCUUAACGAGCUCUACUCAAAAAUGAAAAUGUAAAACCCCCUUUUCAUCCCAGGGGGAAGGGUGGGGUCGUUUAGUGCAAAAAAUUAAAACUUCUCAGAUGGUUAGGUUGUCGCAUAUCAAAUGAAAGUCCAUAAAGCGUACAUUUCAAAUAUCAAAUUGACGUCCCCAAAAAAUGGGUUGGGUGGGGUCAUUGAGUGCAAAAAAUAUAAUUUUCUUUUAAGGUAAGGUUGUUGUAUUUCAAAUGAAAGCUCGUAACGUGUACAUUUCAAAUAUCAGAUUCCUGUCCUCAAAAAAAGAGUUGGGUGGGGUUAUUUAGUGCAAAAAUCAAACUUCCUAGAACAUUUGAGUUUAACAUGGCUAUAUGGUUGACAAAUUACCAAAAACUUUCAAUGAAAAACUUUAAAAAAAAAAGUCAAUUUGAAAUUUUCAUCUUUUACAUUGACUUUGUAAGUUUCAUAAGUUAUAUUUAUAUAAUUGAUGUUGCAUCAUUUUUGGCACUUUGCCAAAUGCAGUCAUUAUGUAUAUCAAAUUGAACGCCUAAAUGAGCUGUACUCAAAAAUGAAAAUUUCAAACCCCUUUUUCAUCCCAGUGGGAAGGGUGGGGUCAUUUAGUGCAAACAAAACAAACUUCUCAGAUGGUUAGGUUGUCGCAUAUCAAAUGAAAGUCCAUAAAGCGUACAUUUCAAAUAUCAAAUUGACGUCCCCAAAAAAUGGGUUGGGUGGGGUCAUUGAGUGCAAAAAAUAAAUGUUCUUUUAAGAUAAGGCUGUUGUAUAUCAAAUGAAAGGUCUGACCGUGUACAUUUCAAAUAUCAAAUUCAUGUCCUCCAAAAAUGAGUUGGAUGGGGUUAUUUAGUGCAAAAAUCAAACUUUCUAGAACAUGUUGCUGUCGCAUAUCAAAUGAAAGAUAAUCAAGUCUACAUUACAUAUAUCAUACUUCCAAUUUCGAAAAUAUAGGCGGAUGGGGUCAUUAAGUGUAAUAAGCGAAAAGUUUGAGAAGGUAUGCUUGUCGUAUAUCAAUCGAAAGGUUGUAGAAAGUACAUUACGAAAACAUCACUUUUACAGAAAGACCUUUCAAUUGUUUUACAAACAAUUGAGAUACUAGUUAAGGUCUUUCCACUCCGUUAGGAAAGACCUUAUUGUUAAGGUCUUUCCACUCCGUUAGGAAAGACCUUAUUGUUUUUCUAAUGUUUUUUUUUUUUUUUUCUUUUUUUUUUUUUUUUUCUUUUUCUUUUUUUUUUUUUUUUUUUUUUUCUUUUUUUUCUUCCAACAUUUUUUUGGGAAUGCCCUCCCCCCGUUUCUGUUCAAGUUAUCAAGACCAAAUAUGGACCAUCGAUAGACAUCAUCAUGAAGUAUUACCACAUGACCCUGUUAAGGAUUUCAUCAUCCCCUGUAGAAGUUAUCCCCCUUUUAUUGGAUUUUUUCAACAUGGCCCCCCUUCGUUGUUUUUGAAGAUAUCAUGACCUUAUUUUGACAAUAGGUUGAUCUCAUCAUGAUGUACUACCAUAUGUGACUGCAUAGGAUUUCAUCAUCCCCUAUGCGAGUUAUAUCCCCUUGAAGCGAUUUCUUUCCUUUGCAUUUUUCUCAAAAAGUAUUAGAGAUAGAAUCGAUUUGAAAACGGCAACAUAUACAGGAACUGAUGGCAAUGUUAAUGAACAUAUAAAAUAAUUUUGUUAUUGACCCUUAUAAGGAGUUAUUUCUCUUAAAAAAAUAUACACAAUUUUUGAAAAAUUGUAUUUCGAGAACCCUAAGUCGUAGAGACUUGGGACCUACACCAAUAAUCUUAAGUUCAUGUGACCUUCAAUUUGCAUCUAAGGUCAAAGGUCACAGAGUGCAAAAAAACUUUACGCUGCAAUUUCAAGCUUGCAUAUUAAGAAAACCAUAAGAGUUUGCUGCAUACAUACUGUGUAUAAAAUGUUCCUCUCGACGAGCUCUACAUUUUAUACAUUAAGCUCAAAAAUGUCCGACUGUCUGUUCAAAAGUUACAUUAACAUAAUUCUUAAAACUAUAGUAACAUAUGUAUAUCUUUUAAAAGGUAACAGAUAUCAACCUACUAUAAACUGCAAAGAUGAUCAGUAAUUCAAGGCCUUCAAUUUGAGGUCAAUGUCAGGUCAUGAUGAAAUUUAACCUUGACCUUCAGAGUGUACUAUGACCUUGACCUUGUGACAUUUGAAAGGUCAAGUGGUCUUGAGUUGAAUGGUGGUAGUCCCAUGUCUCUACGACUUACGGUUCUCAAGUUUGAUAUUGCAUCAUAUAUUUGAUAAUUCAUUGUGACCUUGAUGAACUUUGGAAAUGUCCAAUUUUUUUUCUAAAAUGUUGUCCUUUUACUGUAGAUCAUUUUUCUUUUAACAAAUUUGAGAUACCUGUUGUCGUUUAAGAGAUAAUGCACUUUGAAAUUUUGCGAGCGGAGGCAUGUAUUUCUGAAUCAACAACAGGUAACCACCUGAAAUUAUAAGAAAUUGAAGAGUUUAACAUGGUUAUAUGUUUGACCAAAUACCAAAAACAUUCAAUGAAAAAAAAAACCAAAAAAUCAAUUUGAAAUUUUCAUGUUUUGCAUUGACUUUGUAAGUUUCAUAAGUUCUAUUUAUAUAAUUGAUAUUGCAUCAUUUUUGGCACUUUGCCAAAUGGGGUCAUUUGAUAUAUCAAAUUGACGGUCUUAACGAGCUCUACUCAAAAAUGAAAAUGUAAAACCCCCUUUUCAUCCCAGGGGGAAGGGUGGGGUCAUUUAGUGCAAAAAAUUCAAACUUCUCAGAUGGUUAGGUUGUCGCAUAUCAAAUGAAAGUCCAUAAAGCGUACAUUUCAAAUAUCACAUUGACGUCCCCAAAAAAUUGGUUGGGUGGGGUCAUUGAGUGCAAAAAAUAAAAUUUUCUUUUAAGGUAAGGUUGUUGUAUAUCAAAUGAAAGGUCGUAACGUGUACAUUUCAAAUAUCAGAUUCCUGUCCUCAAAAAAUAAGUUGGAUGGGGUUAUAAAGUGCAGAAAUCAAACUUUCUAGAACAUGGCGUUGUCGCAUAUCAAAUGAAAGAUAAUCAAGUCUACAUUACAUAUAUCAUACUUCCGAUAUCAAAAAUGUAGGCGGAUGGGGUCAUUAAGUGUAAAAAGUGAAAAUUUUUAGAAGGUAUGCUUGUCGUAUAUCAAAUGAAAGGUCUUAAAGAGUACAUUACAAAAACAUCACUUUUGCAGGAAAGACCUUUCAAUUGUUUUUCAAACAAUUGAGAUACUAGUUUUUUUUUUUUUUCUUUUUCUUUUUUUUUUUUUUUUUUUUUUUUCUUUUUUUUCUUCCAACAUUUUUUUGGGAAUGCCCUCCCCCCGUUUCUGUUCAAGUUAUCAAGACCAAAUAUGGACCAUCGAUAGACAUCAUCAUGAAGUAUUACCACAUGACCCUGUUAAGGAUUUCAUCAUCCCCUGUAGAAGUUAUCCCCCUUUUAUUGGAUUUUUUCAACAUGGCCCCCCUUCGUUGUUUUUGAAGAUAUCAUGACCUUAUUUUGACAAUAGGUUGAUCUCAUCAUGAUGUACUACCAUAUGUGACUGCAUAGGAUUUCAUCAUCCCCUAUGCGAGUUAUAUCCCCUUGAAGCGAUUUCUUUCCUUUGCAUUUUUCUCAAAAAGUAUUAGAGAUAGAAUCGAUUUGAAAACGGCAACAUAUACAGGAACUGAUGGCAAUGUUAAUGAACAUAUAAAAUAAUUUUGUUAUUGACCCUUAUAAGGAGUUAUUUCUCUUAAAAAAAUAUACACAAUUUUUGAAAAAUUGUAUUUCGAGAACCCUAAGUCGUAGAGACUUGGGACCUACACCAAUAAUCUUAAGUUCAUGUGACCUUCAAUUUGCAUCCAAGGUCAAAGGUCACCGAGUGCAAAAAAAAAUUACGCUGCAAUUUCAAGCUUGCAUAUUAAGAAAACGAUAAGAGUUUGCUGCAUACAUACUGUGUAUAAAAU